This 781-nucleotide ribosomal RNA is filed under the name marine metagenome. RNAcentral's name for it is "bacterial SSU rRNA". It matches the Rfam family "Bacterial small subunit ribosomal RNA", at positions 555 to 1348 of the family's 1533-position model. The record is from RNAcentral.
UGGGCGUAAAGGGCGUGUAGGCGGCUUAGCAAGUCGGUCAUGAAAGCUCCCGGCUCAACUGGGAGAGGUUGUUCGAUACUGCUAGACUAGAGGGCAAGAGAGGGAGGUGGAAUUCCCGGUGUAGAGGUGAAAUGCGUAGAUAUCGGGAGGAACACCAGUGGCGAAGGCGGCCUCCUGGCUUGCAUCUGACGCUGAGACGCGAAAGCGUGGGGAGCGAACGGGAUUAGAAACCCCGGUAGUCCACGCCGUAAACGAUGUCAACUAGGUGUUGGUGGUAUAAAAUCCAUCGGUACCGGAGCUAACGCAUUAAGUUGACCGCCUGGGGACUACGAUCGCAAGAUUAAAACUCAAAGGAAUUGACGGGGACCCGCACAAGCAGCGGAGCGUGUGGUUUAAUUCGAGGCUACGCGAAGAACCUUACCAGGGAUUGACAUGCACGUAGUAGGGAAGCGAAAGCGGACCGACCCUUCGGGGAGCGUGCACAGGUGAUGCAUGGCUGUCGUCAGCUCGUGCCGUGAGGUGUCAGGUUAAGUCCUGUAACGAGCGCAACCCCUGUCGUGUGUUAUACGUGUCACACGAGACUGCCGGUGUCAAACCGGAGGAAGGCGGGGAUGACGUCAAGUCAGCAUGUCCUUCAUAUCCUGGGCUACACACACGCUACAAUGGUCGGGACAAUAGGCAGCCAAGCCGCGAGGCGGAGCUAAUCCUCUAAACCCGAUCUCAGUUCGGAUUGUAGGCUGCAACUCGCCUGCAUGAAGCCGGAGUUGCUAGUAAACGCGCG